Eriocheir sinensis (Chinese mitten crab) is the source of this 3801-nucleotide long non-coding RNA. RefSeq lists it as uncharacterized. The transcript is spliced from 3 exons. The record is from RefSeq and is a predicted model, not a curated record. NCBI's taxonomy places the organism in Eukaryota, Metazoa, Arthropoda, Malacostraca, Decapoda, Varunidae.
UAACAAAUGUGAAAAAAAGCCCGCUACUCAAAAGCCCGCUAUUAGUGAUAUGUAACUAUAGUCUUCCAUAUAAUGUCGAGGCCAAUCUGGCGUAGGCUCCCGCGGGUCCUAUCCUCCCCUCUUCUUUGCCACAGUCCCAACACCUCUCUCUUCCUCUCAUAUGUAAGCUAUAGGUAACAUAUGAGAGGAAAAAAUAGGUGUUGGGACUGUGUGGCAGAGCAGAGGGGAGAAAUUGACCCGCGGGAGCCAACGCCAAAACGGACUCGACAAUUUGGUUUCACUAUAGUUUAGUAACGUACGUAUUUAUAUAACUUAGUGAUAGCUAGUUAUACAAGACCGCUGAUACCGCUUACAGUCGAUAAAGAAUGUUAGGUUUACUCAGAGCUGCGACGUGGGGUUAAAAAGACAGUUUAUAUUUUUUUUUAACAAAUAAUGGAAUAGAAGACUUUUCCUAUUGUGUACAUGUGUGUGGGUCGAUAAAGAAUGUUAGGUUUACUCAGAGCUGCGACGUAGGGUUAAGAAGACAGUUUAUAAUUUUUUAAACAAAUAAUGGAAUAGAAGACUUUUUCUUUUGUGUACAUGUGUGUGGGUCGAUAAAGAAUGUUAGCUUUACUCAGAGCUGCGAUGUAGGGUUAAGAAGACAGUUUAUAAUUUUUUUUUUAACAUAUAAUGGAAUAGAAGACUUUUCCUAUUGUGUACAUGUGUGUGGGUCGAUAAAGAAUGUUAGCUUUACUCAGAGCUGCGACGUAGGGUUAAGACAGUUUAUAAUUUUUUAACAAAUAAUAGAAUAGAAGACUUUUCCUAUUGUGUACAUGUGUGUGGGUCGAUAAAGAAUGUUAGCUUUACUCAGAGCUGCGACGUGGGGUUAAGAAGACAGUUUAUAAUUUUUUCAACAAAUAAUGGAAUAGAAGACUUUUUCUUUUGUGUACAUGUGUGUGGGUCGAUAAAGAAUGUUGGCUUUACUCAGAGCUGCGAUGUAGGGUUAAGAAGACAGUUUAUAAUUUUUUUUUUUUAACAUAUAAUGGAAUAGAAGACUUUUCCUAUUGUGUACAUGUGUGUGGGUCGAUAAAGAAUGUUAGCUUUACUCAGAGUUGCGACGUAGGGUUAAGAAAACAGUUUAUAAUUUUUUCAACAGAUAAUGGAAUAGAAGACUUUUUCUCUUGUGUACAUGUGUGUGGUAUCAGUACUCAUAUCACAGCAGUGGCAGUACGAGGUAACAACGGCAACAAUAAUAAUAUCAACACUUUUCGCAGCAUGACAGACACCGUUGGUUUCAUCAUAGGUCGACUCUUUGUGUCCGUCAUGUACGCGUUGCAGAAGGUCGUUUUUUUUUUUUUUUUUUUUUUUCCAGCAAAGGAGACAGCACAAGGGCACAAAAAAAGGAAACAACAAUAAAAAAAAAAGGCCCGCUACUCGCUGCUCCUGUAAAGAAUCCGAAGAGGUGGCCGAAAGAGCAGUCACAAUAUCUCGUAGUGAAACAAAAAAUAUAAUAGUCCGCAAUGCGUUCUUUUGUUGGUAUUAUUGUUCAUCGUUCAAGGGUCGUAGUAGGCAAACUUAUCUUCGAGCCACAUGUCUUCAUCCGUUCAGCAUUAUCCAACCAGAUAAUGAUGAUGAUUAGUUACUAUAAAUAAAGUAAUAAAACUUGAAAACAACACGAGUAGAAAACUAUUCUUGUGUUGGCAGGGAAAGCUUCCGACUCGUUCAAACUAGUUACCGAAGAGGUCGUCAUUAGGAGUGGUCGUCGUUGUCGUUUUGUAACAGCGAUGACCCCAUUUCUUUCAUCAUUGUCUGCCUCCUCCUCCUCCUUGAUUUCCCCACUAUAACCUUCCUCAUCCUUCCAGUCUCUUACUUGUUUCUCGCCCGCAAUAUUGAUUUUCGAUGGAUAUUAGUACAUAUUAGCUAUAUUCAUCAGUCAUACUUUUCAUCACCGUAAUUUACCCCUUAGUGUGUGUGUGUGUGUGUGUGUGUGUGUGUGUGUGUGUGUGUGUAUUUACCUAGUUAUAGUUUUACAGGGCCUGGGGUUUACGCUCGUGUGGUCCCGUCUCCAUAUCUAUAUUUAUCCAACUUUUCCUUAAAGCCUUGCACACUCCUCGCCGAUACUACAUCCUCACUUAGUCUGUUCCAAACCUCUAUAUUUCUUUGGGGGAAGCUAUAUUUCUUUAUGUCUCUCAAGCAUCUUCCCUUCCUGUGUGUGUGUGUGUGUGUGUGUGUGUGUGUGUGUGUGUGUGUGUGUCCUUCAUUUCCUUUAAGACCAGGCAACCAAAUGGAGAGGAGGAGAAUGAGAAUGACAUUAAGUAGUAGGGAGAAAAAAGAAAGCAGGUAGGGAGAGUAGGAGGAGGUGGAGGCGGUGACGGGGUGAGGAGGAGGAGGUGUGGUUAGGAGGAGGCUGUGGAGGAGGAAGAGGAGUGGAAAGGCGACAGGAUGGAGAGAGAGAGAGAGAGAGAGAGAGAGAGAGAGAGAGAGAGAGAGAGAGAGAGAGAGAGGAGGGGGAAGAUGAAUGGUGACAGGAGGAAGGGAGUAGGAAAGGUGACGGGGUGACAAGGUGAAGCUGGUGGUGGGGCGAGGGGGGGGGGAGGAGGGGGAUGGGGAAGUGAAAAGCGACUCGGGCACAGGGUCAGAUGGAGAUGAGGGCAGCAUGGGCAAGGGGGCGGCGGCGGGAGGGUAAAAACAAGAACAGGGCGUACAGAGAAUGAGUACAGAGAAUGAGAAUGAGUAAGAAAGGCAGAGAGAGCUUGAGAAACCAGGAAUGUAGCGAAGUGAAAGAAGGAAGAAGGCUUUGGUUAGGACGGGGAGAGGCAGAGAGAGCCAGAGAAACAGAGAGAAUGAAGCGAGGUGGAAGAAGGAAGAAGGCUUUGGUUAGGGCGGGGAGAGGUAGAGAGAGCCAGAGAAACAGGAAUGAAGCGAAGUGGAAGAAGGAAGAAGAGGUAGAGAGAGCUAGAUAAACCAUUAAUGAAGCAGUGGAAGAGGCGGGAAGAGGUAGAGAGAGCGAAGUGAAAGAAGGAAGAAGGCUUUGGUUAGGACGGGGAAAGUUAGAGAGCGCUAGAGAAACCAGGAAUGAAGCGAAGGAAAGUGGAAAAAGAGGAAAGAACAUUGGGGGCAUGGCAAGGAGAGAUUAAAGCAGCGGGCAAAUGGAAAGUACACAAGAGGGUAGAGGUGGGAAUAUGAGGUAGAAGAGAGGCAGAGGAAGGUGUGAUAGAAGAGGAAGGGAAAAAAAUCAGGGAGGGAAGUACAGGUAAGGGACAGCGGGUUGCAGAGUCAAAGGGAUAGAGAGCAGGGGAGUGAGGAGGAGGGUCAAGAGACAGGGGAAAGUGUGGUAAGGAGAAGAAAAAGGAGGCAGGGAGCUAUUGGCAAAUAAGGAGAUGGAUGAAGGAGGGUAGGAAUAGUGAUUAGAAGGACCAGUGGCGAGGAGGACUAGAAAGGGCGCAAGGACAUAAGAAAGACACAUUGAAAGUUGUAAAAAGGAGGAAAGAUCAUAUGAAAAGAAAGACACAUUGAAGGUUGUAAAAAGGAGGAAAGAUCAUAUGAAAAGAAAGACACAUUGAAGGUUGUAAAAAGAAGGAAAGAUCAUAUGAAAAGAAAGACACAUUGAAAGUUAUAAAAAGAAGGAAAGAUCAUAUGAAAAGAAAGACACAUUGAAAGUUAUAGAAAGAAGGAAAGAUCAUAUUAAACGGGAGAGGCAGAGCAAGGAAAGAGAGAAACGGGAGGAGGGGGUUAAUUAGCGAGGAAAAGGUGAUAAAAUUAAUAGUCAGAUGGAAGUUAACCCGUUGGAUGCGGAUUUCCUACAAGAAGACAUCACCAAGC